Molecule: long non-coding RNA, 536 nt
Filed under: Pan troglodytes (chimpanzee)
Lineage: Eukaryota; Metazoa; Chordata; Mammalia; Primates; Hominidae
Description: long non-coding RNA NONPTRT012446
Source: RNAcentral
AUAUGUCUGUAAUCUGUCCCCACUUCUCAUUUUCUCCUAUGCAUAUACUUAUUUAAAGACCUUAUUGUUUUGCCUCUUACAGCAGUAAUCUUCUAAUUAGUCUCCCUGCCUGCAGUAUUGCUGACCUCAAGUUAAUCUUCCACUGACCUAUCAGUGAAAUGUAUCCCAAACACAAAUCAAAUCUGACUGUAAAAGAUCCCACUUAAACUUAUCAGUGGCUUUGCAUCACCUCAAGGAUAAAGUCCCAUUUCUUCAUAUGGCAUCCUUGAAGUUGGGCAUCUGUUAGGUAAUUGAAAGAAAAACUAUAAGGUCCAAUGGCAAGAAUAUCUUUUCACUCAUCUCUAACAUGCAUGUAUUAUCAUUACGCUAUCCUUGUGUUUUCUUUCCAAUUAAAAUAAUAUCUAGGAUGGUUUUAAUUUUCUCAGAUGAGGGAGCACAGUAAAGAGUUACUGAAAGAAAGAGGAACAGCAGAAAAUAUACCAGGGGAGGCUGCAGAAAAUCUAGGUUAUAACCCAGAUCUGCCACUGAGUCAAUAU